Molecule: non-coding RNA, 91 nt
Organism: Lentinula lateritia
Lineage: Eukaryota; Fungi; Basidiomycota; Agaricomycetes; Agaricales; Omphalotaceae
Source: the annotation of a GenBank genome assembly
UCCCUGGUAGUAUAUCGGUUUAGUACACGCGCCUGUCAUUACGACUAGGAACUGGACGCGCGAAAGCUGGGUUCGACUCCCAGCCAGGGAG